CAGAAUACUGGGCGCAAGCGUUCGCAGCGUGUUCACUCUCCGAAUGCUAGAACACAAUUGAACAGGAUUUGAUGCUUUUUUUUGGUUGGCACCACGCUCCAAGCCCUUCCCCUCAGUGCGAAUUUUCAAAAAGCCCACGCAAAGCUCCCACUCUCACCCCUCGGUCCACGCGAGAUGCAGCGAUGAUGCGUGCGUGUCCUGCGCAGCACUCUCAGCGCGGCGUGAAGGUGCGAAAGAGACGACGCUAUGGAAGCAUGCAAAAAGCGCCCAGAGCUGGAAGCUUCCAAUGCUUUCGCUAUCGUCGUGGGCAAAACGCUAGGAUUGAAAACGAUCUAUUUGUAUGCAUAUUUCGAUAAAAGUGGGUAAUUCGCAUUUUACGUUCAUGUAAUUGCAGGCAUUACUAAACCGGGGAACAGUUUCUCGAUUCGACACAUCUGCACAGGCCUUGCUUUCGGACGCAGUGACAGCGAACGUCAGUGUUUUGCUGUGCGGUCGGUCGCUAGCUGGAGCAUUUGGAAGGUAAACAUUGGAAAGGAAAGUUUGGAUAAGCUGCAGUGAAGUUGUGCUUGUUUCGAUGGGAAAGAUGAGGCUGUCUGAGCGAAUGGUUCAAAAUAAUCUACUCCCGUACUCGAAGGUGCUGGUUUGCUCACACGACAACGGGUGAGAAUGUGAGACAACGAAACGAGCUUCUGACGGGGCAGCAGCCGUACAAAAGGAAAUAUCUCCAUCUCUCCGUUUGGGACAGUUGCUGCGCGAAAGGACGAAGGCUGUGAAGCAGCACAAUUCCACAACGGCCCGAACGGGUGGUCGUCCCGAGCGUUAUUUGUUUUAUUGACAGAAAACCUACCUCAGCGAAUGCCGAACAACAAUCUGCACCUGUACUCGAAAGUGCUGGUGGCUCACACGACAACGGGCGAGAAACGUCCCAUACCUGUGUGUCAACGGCUAGAGUGGGAAUAUCCGGUCACGCUGAACAUGUCCAGCUUAAGCUUCGGCACCGCUCCAAACGAUCAUCAAAGGAUAGUAAUGCUUCACUAGGCGCCAACGAUGAACCGGACGUGCCCGGAUGGCGCAACAAGAAAACGGAUAAAAUCCCCCCGAAAGCACC
Molecule: long non-coding RNA, 1108 nt
Organism: Anopheles arabiensis
Lineage: Eukaryota; Metazoa; Arthropoda; Insecta; Diptera; Culicidae
Exons: 3
Source: RefSeq, a predicted model, not a curated record